This 1963-nucleotide unclassified non-coding RNA is filed under the name Dermacentor andersoni. RNAcentral describes it as "uncharacterized LOC126521993". Lineage: Eukaryota; Metazoa; Arthropoda; Arachnida; Ixodida; Ixodidae. The record is from RNAcentral.
GGCCUUAUUGGCACGUCAUCGAGGUACGCCCCACCAUCAAGUUUCGGACGCCUACUUUACAACUGCCGAAACGCCUGGUCCUCCGCCGGAAACGGCAAGGAAAUCGGGACACGUCAAGUUCUUUUCCACUUCGGCACUUUCGCUAAACAUGAGAUGCGCCGCGAAGACGAGAAAUCGUUCCAUCAAAACAGCGCGCACGCCCGGUGGCCAAACGUGUCGUCGAACCACAACAAACGGCUCGGCUUGGCUUGCGACUCGGGCGCCGCCCCGCUCCGUCUUCACACGCGGCCGACGCUCCACCGCUCAAGCCCCUCCGAAGUUUGCCGCCGCCGCAAGAGAGUGCGUGCCGGAAAUAUCAGGGUUGGAUCGACGUCAGGUCGCUAUUGCGCCAGUGGUUCUUCCCUCGGCAGUGCGGUAGCAGCAGGCACCGGGAAAAAAAAUAAAGGCGCGACCUUUGUUUGCGCAAGCACGUGGCCGCGAUUCCGCUCUGGGCGGCGCGAAAGUAAGCGUCGUCGUAUAGUCGUCAUCGUCUGAACCAGAACGAAUCCUCGAAACCGAUUUCCGCGCGCGCGCGCGCUCGCUCGCGAGCACAGCGGCCGGGUUGCGUCACCGCGCCGGCAUGAUCCGGAGCUCUUGACCAAUGGGAGCCGCGGUGCAAGUGGGCCACCGGUCGGCGACACACAUCGGCGGCGCCAACAAGAGCCCCCACUGGUGGGCGCCGGCCGUCAGCUGAGCCGCAGUCUUCCUUCCGACCACAACAACCUUUCCGUUCGACAGAUAUGAAAGCGGCCGUGGCGCUGCUGGCGGCCUGCUGCCUAGCAGCCUGCUGUGAUGCGGGACACAUCAUUCCGUGGCUACACAUCAGCAAGAGCAUAUUUGUCAAGCCGGUCAAGUACGUGUACAAGGAGAUUCCGAUCUACAAGACCAUCCCGGUGUACAAGACCAUCCCCGUGUACAAAACCAUUCCCGUAGUGAAAGAGAUCAAGGUGAUCAAGGAGGUGCACAAGGACGAGUGGCAGGACGAGCACAAGGACGAGUGGCAGGACGAGCACCCCACGUACUCCGACGGCUGGAAGGGCCAGUCGGGAGGCGGCGGCGGCGGAGGCGGCUGGGCCUCGCCCGGAGGCUGGGAGUCCUCCGGUCCGUGGGAGUCCAAGCCGUGGGAGUCCAAGCCCUGGGAGUCUAAGCCGUGGGACUCGGGAGUCUACGAACUGGCGGAGCACCACGUGCACAAGGAGCCAGAGCACGACCACAAGCACGAGGAGCCGGAGCACGAGCACGGGCACGAGGAGGAGCACCACGUAGUCAAGCACGUCUCGCUGCGAGACCUGCUGCCCAAGUGGAUCAGCCUCACCAUCGGGGUCCACAAGGACUGAGGAACCUCGUGUCGCGCAUCUCGCAAUCCAGUCGGAACCUUCUGGCAGCUCUAUAGGCCACGGCCAGCCUUUCAGAUACGCCUGGAAGGAUUCUAGACACAGUCACAUGACGCAUCGACGUGGACGCGCCUCAACAGUGCUGCAGAAGAAGUCGCACCUCCGGUAACCGGAGACCAAAGAAUUUGGGAGGACCUCGAGCCGCGACCCACCUCGGCGAGGCAGACUUGAAGUUUGAAUUCUUCGCAGUGGUGUGCACGGUGUACCCUGAAACUUUCGGGUGUCUACCGGACGCCCCGAGUCGCCACGGCCAAAUAGAGACUCGACGAAAACGCGAAUCCGCGGCGUAAUACCGCCCACCCCAGCCGCAUCCAGUCACAAAGGACCCCAAGCGGCAUCAGAGGACUGCGAACCGAUGACAACUUAUUCACAACAGCCAAAUAUUGAGUCAGCGCUUAGUCUGCGUCGUGUUAACUUUGAGUCUUGCGUCGAAACUUCCUUUCUUUUCGCGUUGCGUAUGAAAUACGCACACACUGCCAAAUCCUGCUACGCAAUGGCCAGACACCAGGAAACAGUGAGGAACGAAUGCU